Molecule: ribosomal RNA, 253 nt
Filed under: uncultured bacterium
Lineage: Bacteria
Description: partial 16S ribosomal RNA
Rfam family: Bacterial small subunit ribosomal RNA
Source: RNAcentral
UACGGAGGGUACAAGCGUUAAUCGGAAUUACUGGGCGUAAAGCGUGCGCAGGCGGUUUGUUAAGUCUGCUGUGAAAUCCCCGAGCUCAACUUGGGAAUUGCAGUGGAUACUGGCAAGCUGGAGUACGGUAGAGGAAGGUGGAAUUCCCGGUGUAGCAGUGAAAUGCGUAGAGAUCGGGAGGAACACCAGUGGCGAAGGCGGCCUUCUGGACCAGUACUGACGCUCAUGCACGAAAGCGUGGGGAGCAACAGGA